RNAcentral lists this ribosomal RNA (66 nucleotides) under Vibrio cholerae. Its description in RNAcentral is "partial 23S ribosomal RNA". RNAcentral also lists the same sequence under 1 other name. Lineage: Bacteria; Pseudomonadati; Pseudomonadota; Gammaproteobacteria; Vibrionales; Vibrionaceae. The record is from RNAcentral.
GUUGUAUGGUUAAGUGACUAAGCGUACACGGUGGAUGCCUGGGCAGUCAGAGGCGAUGAAGGACGU